This 254-nucleotide ribosomal RNA is filed under the name uncultured bacterium. Its description in RNAcentral is "partial 16S ribosomal RNA". It matches the Rfam family "Bacterial small subunit ribosomal RNA", at positions 524 to 776 of the family's 1533-position model. The record is from RNAcentral.
UACGUAGGGUGCAAGCGUUGUCCGGAAUUAUUGGGCGUAAAGAGCUCGUAGGCGGUUUGUCGCGUCGAAUGUGAAAACCCGGGGCUCAACCCCCGGGCCUGCAUUCGAUACGGGCAGACUAGAGUUCGGUAGGGGAGUCUGGAAUUCCUGGUGUAGCGGUGAAAUGCGCAGAUAUCAGGAGGAACACCGGUGGCGAAGGCGGGACUCUGGGCCGAUACUGACGCUGAGGAGCGAAAGUGUGGGGAGCGAACAGG